Molecule: ribosomal RNA, 230 nt
Filed under: Gambierdiscus australes
Lineage: Eukaryota; Dinophyceae; Gonyaulacales; Pyrocystaceae
Description: partial Bacterial small subunit ribosomal RNA
Rfam family: Bacterial small subunit ribosomal RNA
Source: RNAcentral
GGAGGAAGGUGUGGAUGACGUCAAGUCCUCAUGGCCCUUACGCCCAGGGCUGCAAACGUGCUACAAUGGUACGGACAAAGCGAUGCAAGACCGCAAGGUGGAGCAAAUCGCAAAAACCGUGCCCCAGUUCGGAUAGCAGGCUGAAAUUCGCCUGCUUGAAGCCGGAAUCGCUAGUAAUCGGAGAUCAGCUACGCUCCGGUGAAUACGUUCCUGAGCCUUGUACACACCGC